CGGAGCUUGCUCCACCGGAAAAAGAGGAGUGGCGAACGGGUGAGUAACACGUGGGUAACCUGCCCAUCAGAAGGGGAUAACACUUGGAAACAGGUGCUAAUACCGUAUAACAAUCGAAACCGCAUGGUUUUGAUUUGAAAGGCGCUUUCGGGUGUCGCUGAUGGAUGGACCCGCGGUGCAUUAGCUAGUUGGUGAGGUAACGGCUCACCAAGGCCACGAUGCAUAGCCGACCUGAGAGGGUGAUCGGCCACAUUGGGACUGAGACACGGCCCAAACUCCUACGGGAGGCAGCAGUAGGGAAUCUUCGGCAAUGGACGAAAGUCUGACCGAGCAACGCCGCGUGAGUGAAGAAGGUUUUCGGAUCGUAAAACUCUGUUGUUAGAGAAGAACAAGGAUGAGAGUAACUGUUCAUCCCUUGACGGUAUCUAACCAGAAAGCCACGGCUAACUACGUGCCAGCAGCCGCGGUAAUACGUAGGUGGCAAGCGUUGUCCGGAUUUAUUGGGCGUAAAGCGAGCGCAGGCGGUUUCUUAAGUCUGAUGUGAAAGCCCCCGGCUCAACCGGGGAGGGUCAUUGGAAACUGGGAGACUUGAGUGCAGAAGAGGAGAGUGGAAUUCCAUGUGUAGCGGUGAAAUGCGUAGAUAUAUGGAGGAACACCAGUGGCGAAGGCGGCUCUCUGGUCUGUAACUGACGCUGAGGCUCGAAAGCGUGGGGAGCAAACAGGAUUAGAUACCCUGGUAGUCCACGCCGUAAACGAUGAGUGCUAAGUGUUGGAGGGUUUCCGCCCUUCAGUGCUGCAGCUAACGCAUUAAGCACUCCGCC
RNAcentral lists this ribosomal RNA (821 nucleotides) under Enterococcus sp. E04_29. RNAcentral's name for it is "bacterial SSU rRNA". It matches the Rfam family "Bacterial small subunit ribosomal RNA", at positions 74 to 873 of the family's 1533-position model. Lineage: Bacteria; Bacillati; Bacillota; Bacilli; Lactobacillales; Enterococcaceae. The record is from RNAcentral.